ACUGCAAGUCUACUCUGUCUGCACAGCUUAUUACAACAAUUACCACUCUAAUUAGACGAGAGGUUUAGGUGUCUUCUGAAGUUUGCACAGCAAAAGUUCAUUGACUCGGGUUUAAUCUCACAUCAUAAUGCAGAAUAGUAAGAUGCAGAAUGUAAUGAGAGAUGCCGCCACUGGGAUUUUGCUAUUUCUGGAACUCAAGCACAACUUCUAAAGGAGCCUGGACCGCAUUCAAAUCAAUAUAAUGUGGCUAGCCGCAUGAGGGAGCAAAAGAGGCAAAACAAGGACCACCUACUGCACCUACUGAAUAAUGCUUGUGAAACUGGGACCCAGGAAUCAUGCCCAUCCCUUUUCAUAUUCAACAUUCCUAACAGCUCCAGCAAUCAUAAAAAUAAUUAAAAUAAUGUAUGCCAGAAAAAGGGAUGUGUUAUUCAUCAGUUUCAAAUGGUGUAAGAUGAAGGAAAAAAAUCAGGAUGACGCCUCUGCAUUAUGAACAUGGAAAAUACCUGGGAUGAGAAAUUUUCCCUAUGCACCUUUUGUUUUCUGGGUGGGUGGCAUGAUGCAGACCAUAGAAUCUGUGAUCAUCUCCUUCAGAUCUUUUUUUUUUUUUCCACAGCAUUAAACAGAAGGUAAAAAAAACCUUGACAAAGGUAAAUCAAUGCUUCCCUGGAGAAUGAAGACAGCAGACAAGAGGGGGCUGCAACAAGGCAUGCAGGAGAAAACUAAACACCAUCUUUUUUUUUCUACCUGCACAAGUUGCCAUUUGCUGCAGAGACCAGGAGCCUAUUUUCCUGUAGUCUUUGAUAAAUCCUUUUCAGUGCAGGCUUCUGUAGAUCAUUCUUUUUACGCGUGGUUUAUAUUUUUUCCUCAAAGAGAAUAAAUCCAGGUUUCUUCUCUGCUCAGGUAAACAUGUUUACAGGCUCCUGCACAGACGCUGGGUGGCUCAAACCCACAUGUCACACACAUGUCGUCAGCAACAAGAAAUGCCCCCUUUCCUCUAAUCAUCAAAACGCUUUAGAUGAAGAAAUCCCAUUGCCUUGCUCUAACUUACCUUGCACCAAGUACCAAAACACAAUAUAAAUAUCAUACUUUUAAAAAUGAAGACAUUGGCAGCAUUCCAAAAAAAAAAAAAUCAUAUUUAACCAUCUAUUAAAGUGAUUCAUAUGUUGCAUGAAAGGGUUAAAUAACUACAGCUUCCAAAUUGUUUAGAAUUUUAAAAUAUUUGUCCUGAUAACAGUUUAUCAUCAGUCAAAAAACCCUUCCCACUAGUCUAAGGCAGGAAAUCCCAAUACAAAACCUUUACAAAAAAAAAAAAGAACCAAGAAAAAAAAAGGUUACAAAAUCUCAGCUGCACACAGCAGAGGGGGGUAUUACGAAAACAAGGAGCAUUCCCUCCCCCUUCCUUGAUUUGUAUUUUCCUGGACUUGAAAAAUGUCUUUAUUAACCCCCCCCCUUAGUGCUACAAGUCCCUGCAACAUGUUUCACAGCAAUGUUAUGGACUUCACCACUAGGUUUGAUAGGUAAUGUAUACAAGGCAUUUAACUCAUUUUUGUUCAAGAAACUUAUGCAAAAGGAAAGAGAACAAGAAUGGGAGGGGGCAGAUGAGAAAUAAAAGCCUGCCAGGGUUAGAGAGUGUGAAAUGUAAAUGCUAUCCUUAUAUAGGCUGCUGCAGUUGUUGGACAGAGAAAAAGGGGCCCCUUCUAUACAAAGUCACCACCCCUUAGAAGACAGGCAGGUACAUCUUGCAAGAAGAGGAGGAGGACUACAGAAAAAAAAAAUAACUUAAUGUAGGCCAUUUCCCUGUCUCUACCCCACCCAAAUUCAUAACCAUCAUCAUCUUCCCCAUCAUCAACUACCACAAGAAGGGGAAAACACCGUUAGAAAAUACCAGCCUAGGGGCAUAAACCUAUAUAUAGUUUUUUUUUUGUUUUGUUGUUCAUGUAAAUGGAAAAAUGAUGUUGCUACGUUGUAUUGCUUAGAUAUAAAUCAGUAAUUAAAAAUAGGAAUGGAAACUAGCUUAAGACAGAAGAGAGGGGUGUGACUUUAUAAGUAUAACAAAAUUACCUUAAAAGUUUCUUAAAAUAUAUUCAAAGGAGCCGUAAAGCAUGUAAAAAUGUUUGUUUUUUUAUUCAACCCAUCCCAUUCUGCAAUAAAUACGCUAUGCUUUAUAAAGUAUGCGUUGUAAAGUGAUCUGCAGCAAAGAAAGGGUUAAAAGCAAUGAAUGACAGAAGUGUCACCUUUGCAUUACAAUCGGUAGUAGGCGUGUAGCCCAUAUGUAGAGAGAAAUAAAAUGUAUAUACAACUAUACAAUCAAUAAAAAAAUAUACUGCAGCAACAGUGCCUUCCCCAUAACCCUGCCCCUAUGUUGGCUGAUCACCCAGGUAAAGAACUAUCGCAAGAAAAAACAAACAGGAUGAUAAUGAUAAAAAAGUAUAAAAAUGAUUUAAAAAGCAAAAGGUGCAAUAAUAAAAUGAAAGGUUUAUAGUGUCCCCUUCUUGUUCUCAUAACGUGGCCGCAGAUCCGCUACUUCACUACCUGCCCCGGGGGAGGAGGGCACAGAGGAGGAAGUUUGGAGUUGGUAGGAUAGAAAUAAAUACAUAAGAGUGAGACAGAAGGGUUUAUAUUACAAGAAAGUAUUAGUGGUGUUAUAGUAAGGUAGUGCCAGGGCUGCUGUCCCCUCCAUAAAUUAGCAUGUGAUUAGAUGCGUCUAACGGUCCAGGGAGCCGCUAGGCGGAGGAGGCAGCAGCCUGAGCUCAGCAGCAGCAGGUAAUGUAACGGUACACACAGAGCCGGCCCCUAGCCCUCACCCCUGGCUGCCCUGCACUCAGCACGGGGGGAGAGACCCUGAUCUCCCACCGUCCGUCCACGGGGCAACCCUGACACCCCACAAGCUCACCGUUAUUCCGUCUUGGGUUCGCCUGUUUUCUGCGCUUACACCUGGGGCCAUCCGCCAUGAUCCUCUCGCUCUUGUGUCUAAAUGCUCGAGUCACCUCCCUCCCCCGCCCCUCCUCGGCCCCCCCUAACACCACCUCCUCCCUCCCUGCUCUUUCUCUCUACUCAGCCCCCCUUCCCCAGCCAGCAGUGUCCGCACCUGGUUUACGACACUUCUUGUUUACGUCACCCCUGUGCUCUCCCGAUACCUCUGGGGGUUUAGGGGACUCCCCUCCUUAAUACUUUGGCUGUUGUAUAUCAGGGGGGUGAACUGUAAGGGGGACAGGAUGGGCUCAGGUGGUGACAGGAGGGGUCGUGACGCAUCUGACACCCCCAUAUGCAGUGGUACACUAGGGAAUUGACAGAGGCAGGAGGUGCAUAGAGGGUUUACACGAGGAGGAGCUCCUGUCUCUCCCCACCUCUUCUGCAUAGAGAGGCAGCUGAGUGACACCAUCUGACAGGAGCUGCUGCCAAACACAUCGUGUCUACUCAGCAUCCUGUGCCAGGGCUUCAGCCCACCUGCCAGACACGUAACCAGGUGGGGAGGGGCCUCUCGGACUGCAGCCUCCCUUGACACUUCAUCAUUGAUUUUCCACAGAGAGGGGAAGUGAAGUGUGAGGCAGCAGAAACUACAACAAAUGGAAAAUACAACAAAUGCAGCAGGAAACAAAUGGUUUUGAAGAAAUGAAACCCUAAUUUGUUGUUCAUGUAUUAGAUGUUAUAUUUUAAGACAAGUCCCAACUUAAGAACGGAGCAUAGUUAUCAUGAGGAGCUAUCAUUAUCUUGGAAAACAUUAUCAGAUAAAGGAUUAUUCCAUAUUCAUACAAAUAUUCCCAGCAGUUUCUCAUUCCUCACUGGUUUUUAGAAGAUGAUCUUGAAAUGCAAGUGACACCCCAGAGAGUCUUCUGCAUUGGUGGCACUAGGUCAUAAAAAUCUGGAGGGGGUGUGUGCAAAAAUUGACCACAGCUAUAUAUCAAGGGUGCAAAAGAUAACGUUGUGGGAAUCUUAUUUUCUACUAUUUCUUCCUUUAUUUUUAAGAUUCCCCUUUUCCCGCUGUCACCUCUGAGAGAGGGCAAUGGAAUUGCAAGAAAGGCCUUGCCUUGUAAAUUCUAGGCUCUUAAAGCGACAAAAAGUACAAAGAAAAAGGUCUAAUGUGUUAUAGUAUUUUAUUAUUUCAUUAGUGCCUGGUUAUAACUAUGGGGUUGAUCACAAUCAGUUGAUAGUUAUCUGCAAGUUUUCAAUGUGGGCAGCACUUUUUCUCGUUAUAUUUUCAGUGAAAAAUGGUCAUAUACCUAACAUUUUCUCAUCCUGUUUUUCUGAUCACAAUCCAAAUUUCGAAUACUCAAUACAUUUACCGACUCAUUUUUCAUUUAUUGAAUUCAAAAACAAAAAGGACUUGAUAAACCCCAUACUCAUUACCAAAUACCCCAAAAGUUAUCAAUUGUAACAUUGGUUUUGUUUAAAGGCAAUAAAUAUAUAGAUACACAUGCUUCUUAGUCUAUGAAUUUAGGUUAAAAAAAGCAAUGAUAAGCAUAUUUAAACUAAUAAAAAUGAACAAAAUUAAUAACCAAGCAAACACAUUGUCCCUAUACGAAUAGCACAAAAAACAACAUACACAUAUUUAUAAGUAAACAAAAUAGAAAAAUAACAGUAUGUAAAAUAUUUAGCCAAAUUAUGCUACCUGUUUUAAGACUUUUUUUGAGCAAAUCACCUUGAGUGCUAAUUAAUUCUAUGAGCUCCCGCUCCAGAUAGGUGCUGCCAGAGACUUGCAGGCCAGACACCCUGGUUCAGAAUCACUGCUGCAGCUUUUUUAUAACACUCAGACUGCCUUCCAGUGAUAGCUGAUAUGCCUGGAGGUUUUAGGUCACCUUCCUUGAUGUAAGAUAUUUGAACUAAAGCAGCUGGUGCUGCUGAAAUCGCAUUAUCCUGAAAUCUCCUCAGAAAUUGCUAGAGAAAACUAUUUACAUACAGUAAACUAGCCUAAUGCACAAAUUGCUGAAAUGUACACAUCUUUAUUUUAAAACGUGGUUUAACUAUG
Long non-coding RNA from Bombina bombina (fire-bellied toad), 4966 nucleotides. RefSeq lists it as uncharacterized. NCBI's taxonomy places the organism in Eukaryota, Metazoa, Chordata, Amphibia, Anura, Bombinatoridae. The record is from RefSeq and is a predicted model, not a curated record. The transcript is spliced from 4 exons.